Molecule: ribosomal RNA, 96 nt
Filed under: Pectobacterium carotovorum subsp. carotovorum
Lineage: Bacteria; Pseudomonadati; Pseudomonadota; Gammaproteobacteria; Enterobacterales; Pectobacteriaceae
Also listed under: 1 other name
Source: RNAcentral
AUAGCGCGGUGGUCCCACCUGACCCCAUGCCGAACUCAGAAGUGAAACGCCGUAGCGCCGAUGGUAGUGUGGGGCUUCCCCAUGUGAGAGUAGGGA